GCCAGCUUGCUGGUGGAUUAGUGGCGAACGGGUGAGUAACACGUGAGUAACCUGCCCUUGACUCUGGGAUAAGCCUGGGAAACUGGGUCUAAUACCGGAUAUGACUCCUCAUCGCAUGGUGGGGGGUGGAAAGCUUUUUGUGGUUUUGGAUGGACUCGCGGCCUAUCAGCUUGUUGGUGAGGUAAUGGCUUACCAAGGCGACGACGGGUAGCCGGCCUGAGAGGGUGACCGGCCACACUGGGACUGAGACACGGCCCAGACUCCUACGGGAGGCAGCAGUGGGGAAUAUUGCACAAUGGGCGCAAGCCUGAUGCAGCGACGCCGCGUGAGGGAUGACGGCCUUCGGGUUGUAAACCUCUUUCAGUAGGGAAGAAGCCGCAAGGUGACGGUACCUGCAGAAGAAGCGCCGGCUAACUACGUGCCAGCAGCCGCGGUAAUACGUAGGGCGCAAGCGUUAUCCGGAAUUAUUGGGCGUAAAGAGCUCGUAGGCGGUUUGUCGCGUCUGCCGUGAAAGUCCGGGGCUCAACUCCGGAUCUGCGGUGGGUACGGGCAGACUAGAGUGAUGUAGGGGAGACUGGAAUUCCUGGUGUAGCGGUGAAAUGCGCAGAUAUCAGGAGGAACACCGAUGGCGAAGGCAGGUCUCUGGGCAUUAACUGACGCUGAGGAGCG
RNAcentral lists this ribosomal RNA (669 nucleotides) under Arthrobacter sp. RNAcentral's name for it is "bacterial SSU rRNA". It matches the Rfam family "Bacterial small subunit ribosomal RNA", at positions 74 to 755 of the family's 1533-position model. The record is from RNAcentral. Lineage: Bacteria; Bacillati; Actinomycetota; Actinomycetes; Micrococcales; Micrococcaceae.